CCCCCAUCUUUUUCCCUCCCUCGUCGCUCCUCGUUCCUGUCGUUCCUAAGUUUCCUUCUUCUCGUUCGAUCAUACUAUUUACUUAAUCCCCGAUUCCCCCCGUCCUCCCCUUCCCAGGUCACCGAAACCCUAGUGGAAUCAACGCCGAUGGCCGCCAUGGAGCCUCCGCCCGCCGCCGAACCCGAGCUCGUCCUCUUCUUCGGCAGCUCGUCUUUCCAGGAUCCCGAUAUCGUGGAGGUCUCGCCGUCGGCCUGCACCUCCAGCCCGCCGAAGCCGAAGCGGAGCCAGGCGCUGGUUGUUCCUCAUGUUGUAAUUGAGCUUGUUGGAGAUGAUGAUGGUGUUGUGUCAAUCGGUGAAAGCACUUCAGACUACAAGAACAAAGAAGCUGUCAGAAAUGAUAAAAGCUGUCCAAAGCAACUGAAGGAUGCCUUGCUCAAUGACCUUAUGAGUUCGAGUGCAAAUAAUGAUUCUGAACAUGUCGCACCACUGGAUAAUUUAAAGAGCUAUGAGGCAGGACAACUGGAUCUUAAAUAUUAUGAUGAUGUAGAAUAUGAUUAUGCUUAUGAUGAUGAAUAUGACUACGAAUAUGAUGCUGAAGAUAUUGAAAAUGAUUUUGAUCUUAAUUUGGCUGCUAAAUUUGAUGAUCUGGACCUGCCAACUGGCAUUGAGUUAACUGUACCAUGGCUGGAAGUUCCUGCUACCAAAGAGCUAAGCAAGAACAAGGACAAGAUAGUGAUUGAAGAUGAAAUUGAUGUGAAAUAUAGAUCAUUUAAACAACUUGAUACUGUUCAGGAUCAUGAAGAUCAUUAUUUCAGCAGACCAGAUCUUCUAAAAGCUAUUCCAUCUACUAAAAAGCCUUCAAAAGAUUGGUCAAAGAGGAUUCAGCAUGAGUGGAAGGUCUUAGAAAAAGAUCUACCUGAGAUGAUAUAUGUUAGAAUUUAUGAGGGUAGGAUGGACAUUCUAAGGGCUGUUAUAAUUGGACCACCUGGAACUCCAUAUCAUGAUGGCCUUUUCUUCUUCGACACUUACUUUCCUCCGAACUAUCCCCAAACCCCUCCGAUGGUUCAUUAUCAUUCUGGUGGGCUCAGACUAAACCCAAACUUGUAUGCUUGUGGGAAGGUUUGCCUUAGCCUUCUGAAUACAUGGCCUGGCAGUGGAUGCGAAACAUGGAAUCCAUUAAAUUCAACAAUGCUGCAGGUCUUGAUCUCUAUUCAGGCUCUUGUUCUCAAUACCAAGCCAUACUUCAAUGAGCCAGGAUAUGCACAAACAGCUAAUACAGAUCAUGGGGAGAAGGAAUCUCUGAUGUAUAAUGAGAAUACUUUUCUCUUGUCAUGCAAAACAAUGUUAUAUUCACUAAGGAAGCCUCCAACGAUUUCUACCAUGUUCUGAUUACAGCAUUUUGACGACUUUGUGGCUGGACAUUUCCGAAAUCGUGGGCAUAUGAUUCUUGUGGCAUGCAAAGCCUACAUGGGUGGUGCACAAGUCGGAUGUGUUGUUGGUGAAGGCGUGCAUGAUGUUAGUAAGGGUGAUAAGAGUUGCUCACCAGCAUUCAAGAGUUCCCUAGAGAAAUUAUUUGAGGAUCUUCUGAUGGAGUUUGCUGUCAAAGGGGUUGACUGCGUUGAAUUUCUGCCUCAGAAGGCUAAAGUUGGAAUAGCCAACACAGCCGAUACUACUUUAUGCCGGCCGGCCUCCCUCUUCUCCCACUCCCCCGUCAUUCUCACCCUCGUCCUGCCUCCCUGCGCGCUCGCAGCUUCGCCCAUGGCGACGACUUCCUCUUCCCCUCUCGUUAGGGUUUCUCCCAUCUCCUCCGUAAUUCUACUCGCCCUCGUCCUCUCCUCCUCCGCCUCCUCCUCCCCGAUCUCGUACGCCGACCACUGCGCCACGGUCGUCGCGGAAUCCCCCACCACAGGCCACUCCUUGGACGCCACCGCCUUUCGUCUCUCCACCGGUAUCUUCUCCGGCGCCGACGCCUUCUUCGGCGGAAGCGACCGCUCCAGAUCCUUCUUCUUCCGUCGCCGGUCCAUCCUCCCCACCCAGACCCCCGGCGUCCUCCAGAUCAUAGCGACCCUCACCCUCCGCUCCGGCGCCGGUUUCCACCACAUCCGAGGCCGGCACGUACUUGAUCGCUCCGCUGGCGAGUUCCAUCAUGUCCGGCCUCGGAUCCCUCGGACAUUCCCCCAGCGCGGAAUGGUUAGCUUCGAUCUCUCCGGAUACUGGUCUGAGGCCGCUGGGAAGCUUUGCAUGGUGGGGACCGGCCAUGGCCGAUCGCUUGAAGGUGAACCUCUACAGGUUUCUGCUGUCCUAAUGCUCGAUUACCCAAAGAUUACAGACAUCUAUUCGAGCUUGAUUAGUGGGAAUUUGGAGAACUUGGAUGCCGUCGGUAGCUCGAAUCAUUUCGACCCCAUUGCUAUCUUAGCGUAUGCACCGGGGAAUUACGCGUACACACAGAUAUCUCAUGCACAGAAAUCAUGUGCUCGUCUAAAUGCUGUGGAGUCGCUACGGCUUGAGUCUGCUUCUUUCUGCUACUACAUGCAGAGUCUUUCAAGGGUGCGGUUUGAGUUGGAUUUGGGGAAGAAUUGCUCAUCUGGAUUUUGUAGCCCAUUUGCUGAGAUCUCAGAAUCUACUCUAGGUUUCAUGUCUUUCAAUCAAAUACAAUGUUCUGGUGAUGGAAAGUUUCAUAUGUAUAUCGGAUUCUCCAAUACCAGUAGCUUUUACUUUGGCAGUCUCUUGAUCCCCGGGAAGGCGCUGGUUGGUGAAGGGGCUUGGGAUCCUCAGAAGAACCGGCUUUGCCUUGUUGCGUGUCAUGUAAGGAGCUUGAACGAUUCUUUGUCGAGAUCUACUGUUGAUGAUUGCACAAUUAGGAUUUGCUUGUGGUUCCCUGCUGUAUGGUCGAUUGAGAGUCGGUAUACUGCUGCCGGGCGUAUUUGGAGUGACAACAAGGAGAAUGAUUCUGGCUCUUUUGACGCAGUCUCAUUCUGGAGCACUGACCGUUAUAUGGGUUCUCUUCCUGGCUUGAAGUACAAUUACACUAGGACAGAAGUUGUGAAGAAGUCUUGUGCAAAUGACAGUUCCAGAAGUGUGGGAAAAAGGACAUAUCCUGAUGCAAAUGCUUUUCGUGAUUUUAGAUUUCAUGUGUCUGUGAAAAAUUCUGAAGGAAAGACGACAUGGGGGGACUUCACCCCAGUUUCAAUUGGCCAGAUGAUUUAUGGUAAUUUGUUUGGAUCCAAUGUAGAUACUAUGCCCUCAGUUAGCGAGGAGCAUCGCAGCCUUCACAAUGUGAGCUAUGGGAUACACUUUACGUUUCCAAAUGCAUCUUCAAGUAUGAAUGAAGCAGAAAAGAUCUCAGCAGAAGGAAUAUACAAUGCUCAAACUGGGUUUCUUUGCUUGGUUGGUUGUCGGCAUAUAGGCUCCUUGGCUGGUAAGAAGGAAGCGAAACAAGGUGAGUCCAUGGACUGUGGAAUUGUUAUCAACAUACAACUUGCUCCUUUGAAUCCCAAAGUGGGGGAGCAACUUAAUGGAACAAUUAGGAGCACACGAGACAAGUUGGACCCGCUUUUCUUUGAACAUCUGGAGAUUACUUCAUUAACUAUCUACAGGAACCAGGCAAUUCAAUCUAUGUGGAGGAUGGAUAUAGAAAUUAUCAUGGUUUUGGUCUCUCUGACACUUUCGUGCAUUUUCAUUGGAUUGCAGCUCUUCCAUUUCAAAAAUAACCCAGAAGUACUUCCAUCGGUAUCUAUCACAAUGGUCGUCAUUCUCACUCUGGGGCAUAUGAUCCCUUUGGUGCUCAAUUUUCAAGCUUUGUUUAGAAUAAGUGGCAGUCAAAAUGUUUUAUUGUGGAGCGGUGGGUGGCUUGAGGUAAAUGAGGUGAUAGUAAGGAUCAUGACAAUGGUAGCUUUCCUACUGCUAAUUCGUUUUCUUCAACUUUCAUGUACUGCAAGAUCAGCUGAUGAAGGCAAGAGGGAUCUGUGGACAGCAGAAAAAAAUUCUAUUAAAACAUGCUUACCUUUGUAUAUAGUUGGGGGGUUGACUGCCUGGUUCGUUCACAGAAUAUCUAAUCAAUCGGAAUUAAAAAGAAGACCACUUUAUGUUACCCAGCCUCAUCAUACUCUGUGGGGCGAUUUGAUGUCCUAUGCUGGCUUAAUACUUGAUGGAUUUUUGCUCCCACAGGUUCUAUUUAACAUAUUCUCUAGCUCCAAAUAUAAGGCUCUUUCUCCUUCCUUCUAUAUUGGAAAUACUAUUGUUCGAGCACUGCCCCAUGCAUAUGAUGCCUAUAGAAGUCACCAUUAUGUGCCUCGUUUCAAUUCAUCCUACAUGUAUGCUAGUCCAUACGAGGGAUUUUAUUCGUUGGUAUGGGAUAUCAUUAUUCCUUGCGGAGGACUGUUUCUUGCAGUACUCAUAUACUUACAGCAGCGGUUUGGUGGUACUUGUCUCUUUCCUUUUAGAAGUAGCAAGCCUAGGGCAUAUGAAUUAGUUCCUGUAGUGAGCUCUUCGAAUAUACAUUGUUAACAGUCACUGUAUAUCAAAUAUUGAUGGAGCUUUUCCCCAUCAAGUGACAAUUCUGUUUGGUUACUGUAAAGCUUUCAAUUGAUAAAUGUUAAACUGGACAUGUUUGUUCUGCCUCC
This is an RNA transcript of Musa acuminata AAA Group (dessert banana), 4622 nucleotides long. RefSeq lists it as uncharacterized. NCBI's taxonomy places the organism in Eukaryota, Viridiplantae, Streptophyta, Magnoliopsida, Zingiberales, Musaceae. The transcript has 9 exons. The record is from RefSeq and is a predicted model, not a curated record.